AUGCCAAGUCAAGCUAGCCGACCAAAGUUUCCUCCGGUCCCAAUCUGUACCACCAACCUCUCUCUGCUCCGGAUCUGGCCAAACCGAAAAACCAAACCAUCCGGAGAAGAAAGCACCAUGGGGCGACUCUGGUGCAGAUCCGUCCGGGCUCUAGAUCCAGAGAAUCCAACCUGGGCAACGACGAGUACCACCACCCCGCACUGGCCGCUGGCGUCCAAGCGCCAGAUCGCAAAAGAUCUGACCCAAACGCGACAGCUCACGCAGCCACCAGUUCCUAGCGCUCCCGCAGCCUCCAAUCCGCGUUGCAAGCGUGGACUCUAG
RNAcentral lists this ribosomal RNA (321 nucleotides) under Triticum aestivum (bread wheat). RNAcentral describes it as "partial small subunit ribosomal RNA". The record is from RNAcentral. Lineage: Eukaryota; Viridiplantae; Streptophyta; Magnoliopsida; Poales; Poaceae.